Molecule: ribosomal RNA, 442 nt
Filed under: uncultured bacterium
Lineage: Bacteria
Description: bacterial SSU rRNA
Rfam family: Bacterial small subunit ribosomal RNA
Source: RNAcentral
AACGAACGCUGGCGGCAGGCUUAACACAUGCAAGUCGAACGAUAUAGUGGCAGACGGGUGAGUAACGCGUGGGAACAUGCCUAUCGGUAUGGAAUAGCUUCUGGAAACGGAAGGUAAUACCAUAUACGUCCUUAGGGAGAAAGAUUUAUCGCCGAUAGAUUGGCCCGCGUUAGAUUAGUUUGUUGGUGGGGUAACGGCCUACCAAGACUACGAUCUAUAGCUGGUCUGAGAGGAUGAUCAGCCACACUGGGACUGAGACACGGCCCAGACUCCUACGGGAGGCAGCAGUGGGGAAUCUUGCACAAUGGGCGAAAGCCUGAUGCAGCCAUGCCGCGUGAAUGAUGAAGGCCUUAGGGUUGUAAAAUUCUUUCGCUAGGGACGAUAAUGACGGUACCUAGUAAAGAAGCCCCGGCUAACUUCGUGCCAGCCGCCGCAGUAAAAC